UACAGAGGUGGCAAGCGUUGUUCGGAUUCACUGGGCGUAAAGGGUGCGUAGGUGGCUUGGUAAGUUCGAUGUGAAAUCUCCGGGCUUAACCCGGAAAUGGCAUUGAAUACUAUUGAGCUGGAGGUUUGGAGGGGGGACUGGAAUUCUCGGUGUAGCAGUGAAAUGCGUAGAUAUCGAGAGGAACACCAGUGGCGAAGGCGAGUCCCUGGACAACACCUGACACUGAGGCACGAAAGCUAGGGGAGCAAACAGG
This 253-nucleotide ribosomal RNA is filed under the name uncultured bacterium. RNAcentral describes it as "partial 16S ribosomal RNA". It matches the Rfam family "Bacterial small subunit ribosomal RNA", at positions 524 to 776 of the family's 1533-position model. The record is from RNAcentral.